GACGAACGCUGGCGGCGUGCUUAACACAUGCAAGUCGAACGAAGAGCGAUGGAAGCUUGCUUCUAUCAAUCUUAGUGGCGAACGGGUGAGUAACGCGUAAUCAACCUGCCCUUCAGAGGGGGACAACAGUUGGAAACGACUGCUAAUACCGCAUACGAUCUAAUCUCGGCAUCGAGGAUAGAUGAAAGGUGGCCUCUACAUGUAAGCUAUCACUGAAGGAGGGGAUUGCGUCUGGUUAGCUAGUUGGAGGGGUAACGGCCCACCAAGGCGAUGAUCAGGAGCCGGUCUGAGAGGAUGAACGGCCACAUUGGGACUGAGACACGGCUCAGACUCCUACGGGAGGCAGCAGUGGGGAAUCUUCCGCAAUGGACGAAAGUCUGACGGAGCAACGCCGCGUGAGUGAUGACGGCCUUCGGGUUGUAAAGCUCUGUUAAUCGGGACGAAAGGCCUUCUUGCGAAUAGAGAGAAGGAUUGACGGUACCGGAAUAGAAAGCCACGGCUAACUACGUG
Molecule: ribosomal RNA, 510 nt
Filed under: uncultured bacterium
Lineage: Bacteria
Description: partial 16S ribosomal RNA
Rfam family: Bacterial small subunit ribosomal RNA
Source: RNAcentral